This 255-nucleotide ribosomal RNA is filed under the name Klebsiella pneumoniae. RNAcentral's name for it is "partial 23S ribosomal RNA". It matches the Rfam family "Bacterial large subunit ribosomal RNA", at positions 1399 to 1656 of the family's 2925-position model. The record is from RNAcentral. Lineage: Bacteria; Pseudomonadati; Pseudomonadota; Gammaproteobacteria; Enterobacterales; Enterobacteriaceae. RNAcentral also lists the same sequence under 2 other names.
AGGCCGAAAGGCGUAGUCGAUGGGAAACAGGUUAAUAUUCCUGUACUUGGUGUUACUGCGAAGGGGGGACGGAGAAGGCUAUGUUAGCCGGGCGACGGUUGUCCCGGUUUAAGCAUGUAGGCUGGUUAUCCAGGCAAAUCCGGAUAAUCAAGGCUGAGGUGUGAUGACGAGGCACUACGGUGCUGAAGUAACAAAUGCCCUGCUUCCAGGAAAAGCCUCUAAGCAUCAGGUAACAUCAAAUCGUACCCCAAACCG